CACAGUUAGUAAAUUACUUUGUAUUAUUUAGAUAUUAUAAAGUUUCCACAGUAUGCAUAAUAAAUUUAAAUAGCGGGUAAAAAUAUUUCUCCGUAGACAGCAGUGUCUGAAGAUGUUGUGGCACGGGCACACCAUCGGAGACGAGGUCAAGUUCACAUACAAGUAUCAGUCUAUGUAUUCGAUAUGCUGGACACUGAAAAACUAUGUGCUCCAGAUCUGCAAGAUCAUGUUGGCACUCCGGGCAAGGCCAUGCUGAAUGUGUGGUGAAAGUCAGUAUAUGGUGUCUUCAUUGAGUUGCUGUGGUUUUCAUCGGCGCGUCCUCUGGUGGCCUGAUCAGCCAGUUCAUUUCCAAUUAUGCCAUUAUGUGAAGUUGAGGAUCGUAGAAUGCUGAUGUUACACCAUCUGAGCUCUUAGACCCAUCAGUGUAAAUUCUAUACACACCAUUAUUGUCACCAAUAAAUUGAUGGAGAUCUGACUGAACUUUACCCGGGACUCCAAUCUCACAGAGGAUCUGCGCAAGGACAUCAGGGCUGACAUUAUCGAACGCGCCUUGGACAUCGAGAAAGGCACAUACUGUCGCUGAGUGGUUAUAAAAACUAUUCUGGAUGUCACUUACAAGAGUUACAAAAUUUUCAGAAGCACUUUUGCCCCUACGGAACCCAAACUACUCAGGAGGCGGUGUUAAAGGAGCAUAUUUGUCGAAAAAUGGAUUUAUCCAACUGUCAUCUUCACUAUGUUUCUGAAAAGGUAUGCGUUUAAAUCUCCUUACAUAAUUCCAAAUAACACUAACAGGUGCAUUGCUAUUAAAUGUCUCACAUAAACUUUUCCAACUAUUCUUUUUCUUUUGCCUCAGUAGUUUUUUCUUAAUAGCAUCCGAUCUUUUAUAUUUUAUAAAGUUUUCUGUACUAGGCAGCAGUCUGUAAUAAUUAAGGGCAUCUUUACUUUUCUUUACAGCAUCUGCGCAUUCAUUGUCCCACCAUGGAACUGGUUUUUUGUUAGUGUAUUGGGAUAUGCGAGUGGCUUUUGGUAUACAUUUAUCUUUAAUGAUAUUUGAAAUGCUAAUAAAUUUUUCAUAGCACGAAAGCGGAUCUGAAGUGUUAAUGGAAAAUUCUUUGAAAGCUUUUCUUGUUUCAGAAUUGAACAAAGUCCAGUUUGCUUUUUUUGUACAAAUAACGGUCAGAGGGAUUAUUAACUUCAUAUUUUUCUACAUUUAGGUAAAUGUCACAAAUAGUGGGAUAGUGGCAGCUGCCCAUUGGGUCGUCAUGUACUCUCCAAUGGCAGAAAGGGGCUAUAGAUGGAGUCUAGUGAUAUUUUUGUUUGCACUACUUUGUGUUACUUCCGGUUUGGGUGUUGGUGCUGGUGCCUUUGUAUGUUUUGUUAAAGGUAAACUAGGGAAUUCUGUUGAAUUCACAAGUUUAGGCGUAUUAAUAAUUUGGGAGUACGACAUUCUAGAGAGCCUUGCAUCUCUUUCAGCAAUUUUUUUCCUUUUAAAUAUACAGUCCCGAGAUACUGCAACAUGUGGUUCUUCACAGUUAAUACACUUAAUUAGUGAGUUUUCAGGGCAUUCGGAAUAAUGAUGUUCCAUGGAACAAAUGGGACAUUUUUGAGUGGAUUUGCAAAUCUUUGCACUAUGAUUAUAUUUAAAACAUUUGUAACAUUGCAUAAGAGGAGCUUUGUAUUCACUGACCGUGAACCUAUAUAUGUCUAGAUAUACACAUUCAGGUAAUGUAACUGUUAAAAAAGUAAUGCUGAUGGUACCUAAUGGUUUUCUUUCACCGUUCACCCUUUUCAUAAAACGCCUGACACCAAUAAUUUCAUGUGAAGAGGAGAGUUUAAACAGUUCUUCAUUAGAUCUGCUUGUGGGAACAGAUCUUACCACUCCUAUCGCUUCCACGGCCCUAGCUGGUAUGUAAACUUUAAAAUCGUUUUUAGUAUGAAAGUCGGAAUUUUUAAGAACCGCAUUUUCAUUUAUUGUCUGUUCAAACAAUACGCUCACUUUACUUGCAUUGACUCGUUUGAUAUUUUUCGCGCCCUUGACUUCGUUUUUGAAUAAGCUGCCAAGCGUUAUUGGAUUUUGGUUCCCAAGUUUGGUGUCUUUAGUGCUUUCUACAAAAACAGAGUACUCACCCUUGCUGGUACUCUCAGGGAAGACACGUGUGUAUCCUUGUUUAUAAUAUGGUCUAUAAUAGUUAUCACUGUCCUCGCUGGUAUUGUUCCGCGAAACCUCGUCUCCGGAAUAAUGUCUUUUAGGGGGUGGAGGUCUAUAGGCUCCACGGUCGUCCGGGGGGGUAUCCCCCGGAGGUUCAAACAUAUUUUACACUAUUUAUAA
Long non-coding RNA from Danaus plexippus (monarch butterfly), 2329 nucleotides. RefSeq lists it as uncharacterized. NCBI's taxonomy places the organism in Eukaryota, Metazoa, Arthropoda, Insecta, Lepidoptera, Nymphalidae. The transcript is spliced from 5 exons. The record is from RefSeq and is a predicted model, not a curated record.